AGACGGGAUUCCUCAGCUCAGAUCACAACUAUAGAUGGAGACGAUCCAAGAUACCGAAGAGAUGAGAAUGAUCCAAAUGUUUCCAAUAAACGACGUCGAGGUUCCCUAGCUCACCUAGGAGAGAUGCUGCAGAACCUUGGCAGUAGCAAGGAUAAAAAUACAGGGAGUAGGAGAGGUAUACU
This is a long non-coding RNA of Eurytemora carolleeae, 182 nucleotides long. RefSeq lists it as uncharacterized. The record is from RefSeq and is a predicted model, not a curated record. Lineage: Eukaryota; Metazoa; Arthropoda; Copepoda; Calanoida; Temoridae. The transcript has 3 exons.